UGGGGAAUCUUGCACAAUGGGGGAAACCCUGAUGCAGCGACGCCGCGUGAACGAUGAAGCCCUUCGGGGUGUAAAGUUCUUUCGACAGGAACGAUAAUGACGGUACCCGAGGAGGAAGCCACGGCUAACUACGUGCCAGCAGCCGCGGUAAUACGUAGGUGGCAAGCGUUGUCCGGAAUUAUUGGGCGUAAAGGAUGCGCAGGUGGUCCUUUAAGUGGGAUGUGAAAUCCCUGGGCUUAACCCAGGAAUUGCAUUCCAAACUGGAGGACUAGAGUGCAGGAGAGNAAAGUGGAAUUCCCAGUGUAGCGGUGAAAUGCGUAGAGAUUGGGAGGAACACCAGUGGCGAAGGCGGCUUUCUGGACUGUAACUGACACUGAGGCAUGAAAGCGUGGGGAGCAAACA
RNAcentral lists this ribosomal RNA (402 nucleotides) under uncultured bacterium. Its description in RNAcentral is "bacterial SSU rRNA". It matches the Rfam family "Bacterial small subunit ribosomal RNA", at positions 355 to 774 of the family's 1533-position model. The record is from RNAcentral.